This 390-nucleotide ribosomal RNA is filed under the name uncultured Cycloclasticus sp. RNAcentral describes it as "bacterial SSU rRNA". It matches the Rfam family "Bacterial small subunit ribosomal RNA", at positions 410 to 823 of the family's 1533-position model. Lineage: Bacteria; Pseudomonadati; Pseudomonadota; Gammaproteobacteria; Thiotrichales; Piscirickettsiaceae. The record is from RNAcentral. RNAcentral also lists the same sequence under 1 other name.
AGAGGCUCUUGGGUUGUAAACCUCUUUUCUUAGGGAAGAAAAAAAUGACGGUACCUAAGGAAUCACCAUCGGCUAACUCCGUGCCAGCAGCCGCGGUAAUACGGAGGAUGCAAGCGUUAUCCGGAAUGAUUGGGCGUAAAGCGUCCGCAGGUGGCAUUUCAAGUCUGCGGUCAAAGGUCGAGGCUCAACCUCGAACAGGCCGUGGAAACUGAAAAGCUAGAGUGUGGUAGGGGCAGAGGGAAUUCCCAGUGUAGCGGUGAAAUGCUUAAAGAUUGGGAAGAACACCGGUGGCGAAAGCGCUCUGCUAGGCCAAGACUGACACUGAGGGACGAAAGCUAGGGGAGCGAAAGGGAUUAGAUACCCCAGUAGUCGGCGGGGGCGGCCGGACGG